GAAAAGAACUUUGAAAAGAGAGUUAAAUAGUACGUGAAAUUGUUGAAAGGGAAACGAUUGAAGCCAGUCGUACUCACGGGUAAUCAACCUUUCUGGCGCGAUUAUGUGGGCGUGUUGGAGCCUAAUCAGCCCUCGCGUUUUUAUAUUCGUUCCUUUUGGGUGUACUUGCCCGUGCGGUAGGUUAACAUCAAUUUCGGACGUCAUAAAAUGACGGGAGGAAUGUAGCUUCGGUCUCGUACUGAAGUGUUAUAGCCUCUGGUAGAUGUGACGUUUGGGAUUGAGGAUUGCAACGGAUACCUCUCAGGGCUACCUGUCUGGCCUCUGAUGAUUGCUUUGGUGCCGAAAGCUUGCUUACGGUUAUCCAAGUUGACUGUCAAUAGAUUAGAACGUGAUUACAUUC
RNAcentral lists this ribosomal RNA (400 nucleotides) under uncultured Glomeromycotina. Its description in RNAcentral is "eukaryotic LSU rRNA". Lineage: Eukaryota; Fungi; Glomeromycota. The record is from RNAcentral.